CGUAGCUCAGCUGGUAGAGCAAAUGACUCUUAAUCAUUGGGUCGAGGGUUCGAUCCCCUCCGGG
This 64-nucleotide transfer RNA is filed under the name Coprobacter secundus. It matches the Rfam family "tRNA", at positions 6 to 65 of the family's 71-position model. From Rfam's summary of the family: Transfer RNA (tRNA) molecules are approximately 80 nucleotides in length. Their secondary structure includes four short double-helical elements and three loops (D, anti-codon, and T loops). The record is from RNAcentral. Lineage: Bacteria; Pseudomonadati; Bacteroidota; Bacteroidia; Bacteroidales; Barnesiellaceae.